Long non-coding RNA from Dromaius novaehollandiae (emu), 226 nucleotides. RefSeq lists it as uncharacterized. The transcript has 2 exons. The record is from RefSeq and is a predicted model, not a curated record. Lineage: Eukaryota; Metazoa; Chordata; Aves; Casuariiformes; Dromaiidae.
CGCAGCCCCCAGCGGGGCAGCUCCCGCCGCCGCCCGGGACCGGCGCUGCCGCGGCCAGAUAUUGUUAAAAGUUGUGGUCUGCUCCCAAACUGCCCCCGACCUCCUCAGCACCGCAACGGCUGAGCGCAGCGACUCGUACAGAAAAGUUUAAAGGAAAUCAGGACACGGCAUUCACUGCCUGUUUUCCCCCUGAAUUAAAAAGAAAUAAACAUAUAACUGAAUUUAA